This 352-nucleotide transfer RNA is filed under the name Zygosaccharomyces siamensis. RNAcentral describes it as "tRNA-Leu". The stretch from base 271 to 352 matches the Rfam family "tRNA". Lineage: Eukaryota; Fungi; Ascomycota; Saccharomycetes; Saccharomycetales; Saccharomycetaceae. The record is from RNAcentral.
AUAUUUAUAUAUUAUAUAAUAAAUAAAAAUAUUAUAUAUAUAUUAUAUAUAAUAUUAAUAAUAAUAAUAAUAAUAUAUCUAUUUAUAUAUAUAUAUAUAUUAUAUAAGUUAGAAUAGAUACAUUUAGGAAAUAUAGGAUUUGAACCUAUAACCUUUCGUGUGUAAAACGAACGCUCUACCAAUUGAGCUAAUAUCCUUAUUAAUAUCAUACUACUUAUAUAUAUAUAUAUAUAUAAUAUAUAAACUAUUAUAAGUAAUAAUAUUAAUAUAGCUAUUUUGGUGGAAUUGGUAGACACGAUACUCUUAAGUUGUAUUACCUUACGGUAUAAAGGUUCAAGUCCUUUAAGUAGCA